Cyanistes caeruleus (blue tit) is the source of this 708-nucleotide long non-coding RNA. RefSeq lists it as uncharacterized. NCBI's taxonomy places the organism in Eukaryota, Metazoa, Chordata, Aves, Passeriformes, Paridae. The record is from RefSeq and is a predicted model, not a curated record.
AUUUGUUUAGUAGUGUACAGUUCUCAAAUGCCUCUGUAUGUGCCAACAUGAUGUGCUGGGAUGGAAGGCCUGGCCAUCAUGACUCCUAACCCCAUGGUCACAGAGUGAAGGCCUGGAAGACUUCUCAUGAAACCAUCUGGAUUGUAUUACCUGGAGUACAGCCAGCAGGUCAAAGGUGUGGAAGAGAUUAUACUCCUCCAUCAGGCAACUUUGAGUUUUUCUCCCCCAAGGAGGAGUACAAGACACUGGUGGAGUGCAAGGCAUCCAAGGUGAUGACCAUGACCCUAGAAAAAGCCUAGAGAAAACAACCUCUUUACGAGACAUACCUUGCAAUAGAUGUUUGUUUAACUGGAAAUCCACAAGAGCAGCUGCCCAGUGCAACGGUACAUAUUUGCUUCUGAAUCCUUUCUCAAAGACACUAUUUAAACAUGCUGAUGAACUGAGCUGGAUUUUCCCCCACCUCCAUUCCAGUAAAAUAAGGAGACUCAGAAGAUAAAAUUUGUUUUGUUAUUGCAAGUAGUGCUAUGUGGUACAGGAUUAAAUAAGAGAUGUGAACUCACCAUGGCAACCCCUGCAUCACAUUGCAGAUAUGCUGCUUCUAAGAUACGGCAAAUGUUUCUGAAGAAAUACACAUGAAUAUGAGGAAUCCAGGAAACUCGCUUGUCUGAUUUGAACCACCUCCUGCUGAUGUUCUGAGAUCUUGCAAUA